AAACCUGAGAAACCCGAAAGAUCGAAUGGGGAGAUUCAUCUUCAGCGACGUUGGCUUCCGUGCGGUGCGCGAUGUCCGGGACCGCGGUUCCGCGGCACGCGUCCGCUGCGGCAUGUCCGACGUCGUCGUAGUGCACUUCUCCCCUAGUAGGACGUCGCGACCCGUUGGGUGCCGGCUUACGGCCCGGUUGGUCGACUGUCGCGUCACGUUCACGCGCGCACGCGACAGACCAUCGGUCGCCCGGCCGGCUGCCCGGCGGUAUAGAACGCUUUUAAACGGUACUGGGCCGCACCAAGUGCGUUCAGGCUCGUCGGCAGGCUCAUCUCGCCCGGAUUUACGGACCUAGCGCCGUUGCCGGGCGCUUGAUGCGGCUGUUAGUCGACGAUGUCCUCGGACUGGCUCUCGCAUUCGAAUGGAUGUACCGGUCGGCGACGCUACUGCUUUGGGUACUUU
RNAcentral lists this ribosomal RNA (453 nucleotides) under Megastigmus strobilobius. RNAcentral describes it as "eukaryotic LSU rRNA". The record is from RNAcentral. Lineage: Eukaryota; Metazoa; Arthropoda; Insecta; Hymenoptera; Megastigmidae.